Molecule: non-coding RNA, 110 nt
Organism: Acanthosepion pharaonis
Lineage: Eukaryota; Metazoa; Mollusca; Cephalopoda; Sepiida; Sepiidae
Source: the annotation of a GenBank genome assembly
UUACGGCCAUAUCACGAUGAAACAUUGGUUCCCGUACGAUCACCGAAGUUAAGCAUGGCAGCUAGUCAGUACCUAGAGAGGUGACCGCUUGGCAAUACCAGCUGUUGUAA